Molecule: unclassified non-coding RNA, 2068 nt
Filed under: Hevea brasiliensis (rubber tree)
Lineage: Eukaryota; Viridiplantae; Streptophyta; Magnoliopsida; Malpighiales; Euphorbiaceae
Source: RNAcentral
AUAGUAAGAUUUUAUCAUUCGGGAAAGACUUGUAUUACAAUAAUCAAUGAAUGAAUGCAACAUACUUUUUGAGCGUUUUAUAUUUGGCAAAUGUAUGAUUGACAUGUAUCCCGAGUUUUUAAAACUCAUUCACCCGUGACACUCACUAAUUGGAUUGGUGUAAUACACUAGUCAAAGUAUUUUUCCCAUUCAUUGUUGCUAAUACAGUUGAUCAUAGCUAACUGUUUCUUCCAAAACCUCAUACAUAUAGAGGAAACUGAUAUCCAUUUAAUAGCUUUUAAAACAAUUUUAGAUCAUAGCACCACAAAGUCAACACCUGGAGGUAUUUUUGGUCGCAUCUCUUCAGCAUGUUGCUUGGCCAAUUGAUACAUCCCGGUCUCCUUGAAUUUCAACUGUGAUGAGCUUCUCAGAUAGCAUGGUGAACAAGGAUCAAUAAUUAUCUUGUCAAGCGAGAUACCAUUCCUGAGCAAGUGUAGGACAAGCUCAAUUUCAGCAGCAUGUCCUUUAAAACCAAGCACUUCCACCACCUUGGGGCAUGGAAGUGUAUAAUCCUUUGGAACCUUGUGAAGCUCUCUAGAUGACGACGAGGGAGUUUCAUAUGAUAUCUUUAGUGUGAACCAAUACAGCAAAGGGCAUGCUUUUAGCAGGGAAACAUAAGGAACGAGGCAAAGUUCACCAGCAGAGACUGCAGUCGUCACUUCCAAACUCCUGACAUUACCUAGAAUGGGAAAAUUUUGGAGGAACUCGCAGAAUAACUGACCAGUUUUAACAAAGAAAACGCCCAUAUUAUACCAUACUUGAAAACAGAAAUGAAUAGAAACAAGAAACAAAAUCCCAUCAUACGUACAUAAGAAAGUCCUACAUCGAAUUUCAGUGUCUGUAGCCGCAAGAUAUAGCGAGAAAAUUGGUAAAGAUUAUCAAUGAUUGAUUCACCAAAUCGUCCUCCAAAGUAUGACUCAACCAGAUUGGGCACAUUCUUAAAAGGAAUGCCUAUCACUAGUCCAUAGUAUUUAAAAGAUACAAGACUCGCGGCAGAAAUCUCGAGGUCCUUCAAGCUAAAGCAAGAGACUAUCUCCAGGUACUGGGGGCUUGAGUAAUGGACCUGAAACUCUAAGACUUACCAGACUUGUUGAAUCUUCUACUCUUAAUACCUCAAGAAAUGGACAGCAAAAUAAUAGCGAGUGCUCAAGAAACUCUCCGGACACAUCGACAGUAUUCAAACUCAGGGUUGUCAGAGAACUAAAGCUUGAAUGAUUAAACAAAUUUAAUGCCAAGGAAUAAAAACCUCUAGUGUUGAUUCUUGGCGGGAUACUUUGCAGGUCCAACUCAAGCCUUUUAACUCUCUUUUGCAUUGCAAAAUCAAUCCAACUAUCAAUUUCAUAUUUGCAAUCAGAGUCCAUAUCAUAACAAAUUCUUAAACCCUCUAGAGUUGGACCUUCAUGUAAUCUCAGAACUCGAUUCACCCAACUCACAAACCUAUGCCUUUCUGUGUCCAGUGACUUGCUCAUCAGAUUCAAAUCCCACAUUGUAAGUGAAGCAUCAAAGACCAUACCACCACUGAAAAAUGUCCAUAAACGUCUCCAUCUGCUAGAGAAGAUGGAGGUACGAAUUGCUUUUUUCAGUGUCAAGCGUGACAAGAUGCUCACAAGAGCAUCUUCUGGUAGCUGACUAAAGUGAUCCUUUGAAUCAUUACCACCGUUUUCGUUGCUGUUCUCUCUUGGGGGAUUCUGAUCUUCCCCAUUAUUGCCUUUCUCAUCACACUAAACGCCAUCACAGAAUUUAAAUAUGAAUUAAAAUUUCAGAAGAAUAAGAAAUAAAUUAUUAAAAAAAAGUUUGAAAGAACAAACUUGUCUUCUCAUUUCCUCACUAUUAAAGCUGCGGUUGAUCUUUUGUUGUUUGAAAUGGAAAUAAUUUAUAAUCUUCUCUUCCAUGGUGUGAACAUAUGAAAACAAAGCAAAUGCAAAAAUUGGUCUUUCACGGUUUCUCUCCCUGAUCGGAUUUAGGCUGAAACAUCCUCAUUUAAAACCCCAUCAAACAUUUGACGCAGAGAGAGAGAGAGAGAGAAAGA